UUACAUUGACUCCUCAAAAGGACAAGGUAACUGUUACAAAGUAUGAGCAAUGAUCAUGGUAAUGAUAUACAAGUAAUGCUCAAAAUGAAAAUAAUGCACAGAGGCACACACAAACGUCAAUGCACAGAUGAACAAACAAUCACACGCUAUACACAAACAAGAGGCUUCACACAAGGGUGGGCUUUAGUCAAGGGGUCAUAUCAACCUCGACAAACAAGCCAGCUGUGGGGGUGUAAAC
This 238-nucleotide long non-coding RNA is filed under the name Lathyrus oleraceus (garden pea). Its description in RNAcentral is "Pisum sativum (pea) long non-coding RNA (PSAT_LNC011171)". The record is from RNAcentral. Lineage: Eukaryota; Viridiplantae; Streptophyta; Magnoliopsida; Fabales; Fabaceae.